ACUAACGCUGGCGGUAUGCCUUAGACAUGCAAGUCGAACGAGUUUCCGGGCUUGCUCGGAAAUUAGUGGCGAACGGCUGAGUAACGCGUAGGUGACCUACCCCGUAGUGAGGAAUAACUGCCCGAAAGGGUAGCUAAUACCUCAUGUUGAGACGCUUUCAUUAGCGUCUCCAAAGCAGUAAUGCGCUAUGGGCGGGGCCUGCGUUCGAUUAGCUAGUUGGUGAGGUAAUGGCUCACCAAGGCGACGAUCGAUAGGUGGUCUGAGAGGACGAUCACCCAGACUGGGACUGAGACACGGCCCAGA
This 303-nucleotide ribosomal RNA is filed under the name uncultured bacterium. Its description in RNAcentral is "bacterial SSU rRNA". It matches the Rfam family "Bacterial small subunit ribosomal RNA", at positions 29 to 335 of the family's 1533-position model. The record is from RNAcentral.